Molecule: transfer RNA, 69 nt
Filed under: Capra hircus (goat)
Lineage: Eukaryota; Metazoa; Chordata; Mammalia; Artiodactyla; Bovidae
Also listed under: 1 other name
Rfam family: tRNA
About the family: Transfer RNA (tRNA) molecules are approximately 80 nucleotides in length. Their secondary structure includes four short double-helical elements and three loops (D, anti-codon, and T loops).
Source: Rfam by way of RNAcentral
CCUCAUAGCUCAGUUGGUAAAUCAUCUGCCUGCAAUGCAGGAGACCUGGGUUCAAUUCCCGGAUCAGGA